AAAGCUAUAAAACAAGUGGCUAAGAUCAAGUCUAGUAUCCGUUCUUAUCAAUUAAAUAUCUGAUAUGUGGGUCAUAUGCCCAUAACGGUAUUAUAUUUGUUUUUUUUGAAAAUGUUUCAUCACAAUGGCUUGCCGUUGGGGCGCUUGCGUGUCACCUAAGUGUUGCACUAUUCCCUAGGCUUGGCGCGCCCCAA
Molecule: non-coding RNA, 194 nt
Organism: Triticum aestivum (bread wheat)
Lineage: Eukaryota; Viridiplantae; Streptophyta; Magnoliopsida; Poales; Poaceae
Source: Rfam